AACUGAUUCAAUGUAUCCUUUCUUAGUCAGGUUUCGAAAAUGAAGAGAUCACAAACAACUGCUUUGAAGUCAAAGUUACAAUGGAUCCAAAUUUUCAAUUGGGCGAGGAGGCGGCCCUUAUCAAGCUCGCUCAAUCCAAAUGAGAGUUCUAGCAUGGAAUUGUCGGGGGUUAGUGAGACCCUCGGCAAUGCAAGCCUUACACACUUGGUAAGGAGCGAAAAACUAGAUUGUAUAUUUUUUAUGGAGACAAAGGUUAGUAAUGAAACUAUGAAGAAAUGUUGCAAAAACUUGGGAUUUGAAAGAGGAGAAUUCCUAGAGUCUUGAGGUAACGCAUGAGGAUUUUGUAUAUUGUGGAAAAAAGAGGAGAGGAUCUCAGUGAUUGAAGCAACUAACGAAAUUUUCGAGAAGAUGAUUUGGGAUGUAAGGAGUAAUGUCUUUUGGACACUAUUUGCGGUCUAUGGUACACCAUAUGUGGAUCGCAAAGAAGGAUUUUGGAACAAUUUGAAGAAUAGAGUGUUGCGAUGUGAGACUAGUUUGAUCAUCCUUGGGGAUUUAAAUGUGCUGCUCAAUGAAGAAGAUAAAUUUGGGGGGGGCAGCCAAAUUCGAAAAAGUGAUACUAAGGUGCUAAGAGAAUUCCUCAAUGACACAGGAGGGGUUGAUUUAGGUUUUGUUGGGUGUAAAUUCACUUGGCAGAAUAAGAGAUUUGUGCGUGGCUUGAAUAGAGAAAGAUUAUAUAGAGCUAUUGGCUCUCAUGAUUGGAUUGCUAAGUUUCCCAACGCAGGAGUGAGGAACUUCACAGUAAUAGUGUCGGACCAUGGACAUAUAUUUUGAUUCUUACUUGGACAAUUCAAAAGGUGGUCGACCAUUCAGAUUUUUUGAUGCUUGGGCUAGGGAGGAGAGUUGUAAAGCCUCAGUGGCAGAAGUUUGGCGAAGGGACAAUCAAGUUAGCCCGAGCAUGCAACUAUUCCAGAAUCUGGAUGCAACAAAAAAGGCAUUGUAGACCUGGAUCAAAGCAAAGUUUGGGGUGCCUGAAAAGAAGAUAAAAAUGACAGAAAAAAAGGUUUCAAUGGUUGCAGAAUCAAAACCAGAACCAAGAGCUUUUUGAGGAGGAGGCUCGGCUUUUCAAAGAUCUUAGUGAGCUAUGGAUUAAACAAGAGAGUAUGUGGAAGCAAAGAUUUAGAAAAAUAUGGUUGGUGAAUGGAGAUCGGAACACCAAGUUUUUUCAUACCUCAACUAUGGUUAGAAAAAGAAGAAACCACAUCUAGGCAAUAAGGGACAGAAAUGGCAAAGUCAAGGAGAGCAGGAGGGAGAUGGUAGGCAUUUUCAAUAAUUUUUUUCUUGGAUUUGUUCUCUUCUGAUCAACCUUGCAUUGAAACGCAGCUGGAAGAUCUUAUACAAGGUAAGGUGACGACAAAGGAUAAUGAGAGGUUGUGCCAGAUCCCAACAAGAGAAUAAGUGGUGAGAAUGGUGUUCGAUUUGCAUCCUCUUAAGGCUUCGAGGCCUGACGGUUUAUCGGGGUGUUUUUACAGGAGGUAUUGGGAUAUUACCGGGGAUAGUAUCUUGGCCUAUGUCCAGGAGCUCUUCAGAUUGGGUUGCUUUGAUCCAAAAUUGAAUUAUACAUACAUUUGUCUAAUUCCCAAAAAAGAGAAUGCAUACAUGGUAGAAAGUUUCAGACCGAUUAUUUUGUGCAAUUUCAACUAUAAGAUCAUUGCCAAAAUCUUGGCGAAUAGAUUGAGGAAAGUCAUGGAGAAGUUGAUAUCUCCCUUUCAGGCAGCCUUUGUUCCAGGAACAUGGAUAGUUGAGGCUUCGAUCUUAACACAUGAACUAAUUCAUACAAUAAAAAGGAAAAAGGGAAAAGGGGAAACAGUGGUGUAAUGGCGGUCAAGGUGGAUAUGCAUAAGGCCUAUGACCGUAUGGAGUGGUCCUUCCUGCUACGUGUUCUUAAAGCAAAUGGAUUCUCUCAACACUUUUGUAAGAUAAUUUCCUAGUGCAUCUUCUCAAUCUCUUUCUCAGUUCUUCUCAAUGGACUUCCACUGAAGAAAAUUGUACCGAAGAGAGGAUUAAGACAAGAAGAUCUUUUAUCUCUUUUUUGUUUCUUUUGGGAAACGAGGUAUUAUCAAAGCUUAUUUCUAAAGAUCAUAAUGCAAGACAUAUAAAGGGAAUCAAAGUAGCAUCCUCGACCCCAGCCAUUUCUCAUCUGAUGUUUGUGGAUGAUACGAUCCUCUUUGGUAGGGCUAAUACUGAUGAGGUUGAGAACCAAAUAAGGUGUUUCAAAUUGUAUGAGGGGUGAUCUGGCCAGAGAUGCAGCAAAAAAAAAAAAUACAGCGUCCUUUUUUCAAAAAACAUAUCUCAAGCUACAAAAGGGGAGAUUAUGAAGAGGUUGCAAGUUGAAGAAUCGAAAGAAACUGAAAAACAUCUAGGCAACUCGUUUGUGUUCAAAAGAAGGAAGAGACAAGAUUAUGAGAGACUAAGAGAAGCAGUGAUGAAAAGACUUGAAGGAUGGAACAUGAAGACUAUGUCUUUUGCCAAAAAACAAGUUAUUAUUAAUUCAGUGGUUUCUAAUGUUCCCAUUUAUGCAUGUCAACGUUCAAGAUCCCCUUCUCAAUUUUUAUAGAAAUGGAUAAUCUUACAAGGAGAUUUUGGUGGGCAGGGGGCAUAGAAAGAAGUCGAUUUUUAGCAACAAAGAGUUAAGAUAGAAUUUGUCAACCCAAGGAAUGUGGGGGUCGGCUUUAGAAGAUUUGAAGACAUGAAUAGAGCCCUACUGGCAAAGUUAGCGUGGCGGGUUUUGGCUGAAGAAAAUAGGUUGUGGGUGAAGGUCCUUAAAGCCAAAUAUUGCAGAAAAGAGAAAUUAUGGACAGUGGAUAGUAAACACAGAGAUUCCUACGUCUUGCGAGGCAUUCUAUAGGCUAGGAAUAGUUUCUUGAAGUCUAGUUGUAUGAUAAUUUCUUCUGGCAAAGACAUUGAUCUUUGGACACAGUCGUGGAUACCUUGGUUGAGCAUCACUAAAUUCAGAGAGUUUAUGGGAAGCAAAAGAAGAGAAGUGCCACAACUGUCUAAGGUUUGUGACUUAUUCAUCCCAAAUAAACGGGAAUGGAAUUGCCAAUUACUGCUAGAUAUAUUUGGAGAGGAAAUGGCAAAAGAAAUCAAUAAGAUCCAAAUUGUAGCAUUUGGAGAAGAAGAUAAAGUUAUAAGGAAACCAAAUUGUCAAGGGAAAUUCAGUGUGAAAUCUGCCUACAUUGAAGACCAUAAAAGCAGAUUUGGUGGCAGCGAAAAUGUAUGGAAAAAUAUUUGGUACUCGGGCAUCCAUCCAAGAUUGAGCAUAAUUUUAUAGAGAUCAUUAGCUGAAGUGCUGCCAACUAAAGAUAAGUUGGCUUUUCUGCAGGACAAAUGAUGUUUUUUCUGUGACGAGUUAGAAGAAACUCAUCUUCAUUUGCUCUGCACGUGUGCGUUUGCUAGGGUAAUUUGGUAUGCCAAUCCAAUUAACAUCAUAAUAGACCUAGUUCAGGGAAAUUCAGUCAAAGAAGUAGUCCAGGAAAUGGUGGAGAAGAAUCAUAGCAUGGGAAUGAAGGGUCUGCUUGUGUACAUAGCUUGUGUGUUGGAUUUGAUAUGGAAAAUGAGAAAUGAAAGAUACAUAAGUGGUACGCUGCCUUGUCUGCAGUCCAUUAUUCAACAAUUUCAAGAAAGAUGCAGGGAGUUUACGGAAGUGGGGCGAGAUCAAGAUAAGCUUGAGGCUCCCAUGCACCUAAGAGAGCUCAACAAAAAAGGAAUUCAGGAAGUCAAUGUUGCAAUCUGUGUUGAUGUUUCCUUUUAGGAUGGCAAGGCUAGGAUAGCGGUUGUGGCAGUUUAAAGGAACAAGGAAGGUUGAACUGCUAAGAUAGAUAAGGUUGAAGUAUCUAAGGCAAUGCAUGUAGAGUUGUUAGAUAUGAGGAUGGCUUUGAAUUGGGCAGUGAAAAAUGGUUGGCUUCGCAUAGUCAUUUUUUCAAAAUGUUUAAAGUUGGUAAAUUCCCUCAAUGAUAAUCAGAGAGUACCAAAUUGGAGCAUGUGGAGUUACUACAAUGAUGUUUUGAAUAUUUCGUCUCAAUUUCAUUCUUGUUGUUUUAAGUAUGUUAGUAGGAAAGACAACGUAUUAGCAGAUUGUUGGGCAGAGAAAGCUAGAGUAGCUAGCUCAACUGUCUGUUGUAUCUAGGUGAGGGUACCCCUCUUGUGGUUCCCAUCUUUUAAGAUGAUUGGUAGAGUUGUGGACAUUUUGAGAAGGAUUUGAAGCUUGAAGUGGAAUCGGGAUUGUGGGAUGCUGCAGUAUCACGUUGCUCUAGAUAUCUACUUGGAAGACCCACGUGGAUAUCUAAUCCAUUAGUGUUAUCCAUCAGUUUUUGGAUUUUUAUGAUUUGGGCUGAGCAAUAAUUAAAGUGGUAUUGAGCCUUUGCUUUUCGUUGGGUCCAUUAGCUUACAAAGAUAACGAAAAUAAAAGGAGGAGGAGGCCCACGCGGGGAGUAAAAAAAAAAAGGGUAAUGACCUAAUUUCCUUGACCAUUAACCUUUUCCUUUUUUUGGAGAGACACGCGUACAACAACCAUUAGAGAGAGAAGUAGAGAAUGAAGAAGAAGAAAAGGAAAAAAAGAAAGAAGAGGAAGGAGAUUCAAAGAGGAAGACAAGAAGAGAACCACUUGGGGACACCCUAUUGGGGCUUGAUUUUCUCAUCCUUCUCUUAGUAUUUACUUUCUUUUCUUUUCUUUUAUUUUUCUUGACAAUGUUUGCAUUUAUUAUUAGUAUUUUGGAUAUUUUAAUUAUGAGGUAAACUUUUCAUAGCUAGAAUUGUUAAUGAACCCUAAUGUGUGAUUUUGGAACUUUGUUAAUGGUGUUAAUGUAAAAUUGGGUUUUAUUCAUUCAAGUGGUUUUAAUCUUA
Molecule: long non-coding RNA, 4902 nt
Organism: Humulus lupulus (European hop)
Lineage: Eukaryota; Viridiplantae; Streptophyta; Magnoliopsida; Rosales; Cannabaceae
Exons: 2
Source: RefSeq, a predicted model, not a curated record